Molecule: ribosomal RNA, 253 nt
Filed under: uncultured bacterium
Lineage: Bacteria
Description: partial 16S ribosomal RNA
Rfam family: Bacterial small subunit ribosomal RNA
Source: RNAcentral
UACGUAGGGGGCAAGCGUUGUCCGGAAUUAUUGGGCGUAAAGAGCGCGUAGGCGGUCCGAUAAGUCGGCUGUGAAAGUCAGGGGCUCAACCCUUGGAAGCCGGCCGAUACUGUCGGACUAGAGUCCGGAAGAGGCGAGUGGAAUUCCCGGUGUAGCGGUGAAAUGCGCAGAUAUCGGGAGGAACACCAAUGGCGAAGGCAGCUCGCUGGGCCGAAACUGACGCUGAGGAGCGAAAGCGUGGGUAGCAAACAGG